Xenia sp. Carnegie-2017 is the source of this 287-nucleotide long non-coding RNA. RefSeq lists it as uncharacterized. The record is from RefSeq and is a predicted model, not a curated record. The transcript has 3 exons. NCBI's taxonomy places the organism in Eukaryota, Metazoa, Cnidaria, Anthozoa, Malacalcyonacea, Xeniidae.
UUUGGCUCCAAGGUCAAUUAACAAUCAACUUUACCAUUGGAUCAAAAAUUAGGAUAAUUGUUGAAGGAGUUCGAGGAUGGAGUAGUUCCAGUGACAUUGCUCUUGAUGAUUUCAAAUUUUUGGAUGGAGCUUGUGAUAUACUUCCGCUAACUGCCAAACCUCCACGCUUUGGCAUCCCUAUAAACAUUUGUCCAUCACGAACUAUUACGCUUUCUAAAGGACAUAUUGUGUCACCAAAUUACUAUCCACGUUACUAUCUCUACGCAAGAUGUACACUGACGAUUAAA